This is a non-coding RNA of Salvelinus sp. IW2-2015, 531 nucleotides long. The record is from RefSeq and is a predicted model, not a curated record. Lineage: Eukaryota; Metazoa; Chordata; Actinopteri; Salmoniformes; Salmonidae.
AGCCCGCUGUUAUGAUCUCGGAGUGAAACAGGUUUGUUUUUCUGGUCAAGACUGUCAUGACAUGCGUAAAUCCAGAAAUAUGAAUUAUCAAUAAAGAAAGCUAUAUGUUGAUAUAUGAAUACAUCGUUCAAGUAUGCACAGUGUUAGUAUAAAGAAGGCUGUCCUUGAUCGAGCACCUUUCAUCACAGCUGCUCUGUUCCAAAUCUUAUCGCGCCAUUUUGUAGGUCUAUCAGAUGGCUGAUAACCUGUUUUCUUCUCACAGUGACAGAGUACUAGAUUUUGGUAUCCUAAAACAUAUGAUACGAUUUUGAAUCAGAAUUGUACUGUGCUGUUGCCUGAACAUAAGACCAUGGAUGAUAGAGAGAAGACACAACCGAAUCUGGACACAUCUGUGAAGAAGAUUACACGUCCAAGUAACACUUCAAACAACCAGCAACAAACUCCUGACCAAUCUCCAGGAUCUGAUGCCAAGAAAGAAGCACACGAUGAAAGCCAUUCCUUCCGAUACCGCUUCGAAUACAAACAAUCAGA